This is a long non-coding RNA of Ficedula albicollis (Collared flycatcher), 381 nucleotides long. RefSeq lists it as uncharacterized. Lineage: Eukaryota; Metazoa; Chordata; Aves; Passeriformes; Muscicapidae. The transcript is spliced from 2 exons. The record is from RefSeq and is a predicted model, not a curated record.
GGCGGGCCGGGGGCGAUCGGGAGGGCGCCGGGAGGGGCUCGGGGUGUCGGUGCGAGGUUUUGGGGGGCGCUGAGCCCCGCGCACCCCCAGAGAUGCCGCCGGACGCCGCCCGCAGCAAGAUGCUGACGGGGAUCGGGGGCUUCGUCCUGGGCUCGGUCUUCCUGGCGCUGGGGCUCGGCUUCUACGUGCGCAAGAAGAGCUCCUGAGCCGCCGGCGGCCGCAGCCCCUCCCCGUGGCCUCGGGCCCGCCCGGGACCCCCCGCUCCGUCCCCGCGCUCACUUUGGGGGGGCCCUGUGUCCCCCCCUCCCCUUCCCCAGCGCCGCUGUCACUGUGUCCCCGCCCGGCUGCUCCCAGUGCUCCCAAUAAAGCUUCCCAGUUGGA